AGCUACUGGUGGUACCCAUGAACCUACAAUCUACCACUGUUUGAGAAAGGCAUGCAAAAGUGUAUUUCAUAUGCUGAAGAUGUUCCCUGUGAAGUGACUCCCUUUGGUUCAACGACAAGGUUCUGUCUCAUCAGACUUGAUCAGGAGUUAUUCACCAGUCACAUCCUGCAGGUUCCUUCUUCUGAUGACUCAACUAUCAUGUCAGGAACGUCUGUUUUGACGAUGCUGUGCUGAGAGUUGAAGUAGACCAUGGACAGAGGCCGGCGCUCAGUGGGGAUGCAGCAUGAAGCUGUGGCUGUGUUGAUGCCAUUGACUUUAAGCUGG
Long non-coding RNA from Gambusia affinis (western mosquitofish), 324 nucleotides. RefSeq lists it as uncharacterized. The record is from RefSeq and is a predicted model, not a curated record. The transcript has 3 exons. Lineage: Eukaryota; Metazoa; Chordata; Actinopteri; Cyprinodontiformes; Poeciliidae.